This 18-nucleotide unclassified non-coding RNA is filed under the name Influenza A virus. RNAcentral describes it as "RNA (5'-R(*UP*AP*UP*AP*CP*CP*UP*CP*UP*GP*CP*UP*U)-3') from Influenza A virus (PDB 6EVJ, chain S)". RNAcentral also lists the same sequence under 2 other names. The record is from RNAcentral. Lineage: Riboviria; Orthornavirae; Negarnaviricota; Insthoviricetes; Articulavirales; Orthomyxoviridae.
UAUACCUCUGCUUCUGCU